AUAAGUUUGGUCUGUUUUACCGAGAAGG
Molecule: transfer RNA, 28 nt
Filed under: Salvia cerinopruinosa
Lineage: Eukaryota; Viridiplantae; Streptophyta; Magnoliopsida; Lamiales; Lamiaceae
Also listed under: 6 other names
Description: partial tRNA-Val
Source: RNAcentral